This 486-nucleotide ribosomal RNA is filed under the name uncultured bacterium. RNAcentral describes it as "partial 16S ribosomal RNA". It matches the Rfam family "Bacterial small subunit ribosomal RNA", at positions 29 to 507 of the family's 1533-position model. The record is from RNAcentral.
AUUGAACGCUGGCGGCAUGCCUUACACAUGCAAGUCGAACGGCAGCACGGGUGCUUGCACCUGGUGGCGAGUGGCGAACGGGUGAGUAAUACAUCGGCACAUGUCCUGUAGUGGGGGAUAGCCCGGCGAAAGCCGGAUUAAUACCGCAUACGAUCUACGGAUGAAAGCGGGGGACCUUCGGCCCUCGCGCUAUAGGGUUGGCCGAUGGCUGAUUCGAUAGUUGGUGGGCUAAAGGCCUACCAAGGCGACGAUCAGUAGCUGGUCUGAGAGGACGACCAGCCACACUAGGACUGGGACAGGGACCAGAGGCCUACGGGAGGCAGCAGUGUGGAAUGUUGGACAAUGGGCGAAAGCCUGAUCCAGCAAUGCCGCGUGUGUGAAGAAGGCCUUCGGGUUGUAAAGCACGUUUGUCCGGAAAGAAAUCCUUGGCCCUAAUACGGUCGGGGGAUGACGGUACCGGAAGAAUAAGCACCGGCUAACUACGUG